AUUGAACGCUGGCGGCAUGCCUUACACAUGCAAGUCGAACGGCAGCGCGGACUUCGGUCUGGCGGCGAGUGGCGAACGGGUGAGUAAUACAUCGGAACGUACCCUGUUGUGGGGGAUAACUAGUCGAAAGAUUAGCUAAUACCGCAUACGACCUGAGGGUGAAAGUGGGGGAUCGCAAGGUCUCACGCAGCAGGAGCGGCCGAUGUCUGAUUAGCUAGUUGGUGGGGUAAAGGCCCACCAAGGCGACGAUCAGUAGCUGGUCUGAGAGGACGAUCAGCCACACUGGGACUGAGACACGGCCCAGACUCCUACGGGAGGCAGCAGUGGGGAAUUUUGGACAAUGGGGGCAACCCUGAUCCAGCAAUGCCGCGUGUGUGAAGAAGGCCUUCGGGUUGUAAAGCACUUUUGUCCGGAAAGAAAUCGCGCUGGUUAAUACCUGGCGUGGAUGACGGUACCGGAAGAAUAAGCACCGGCUAACUACGUG
This 484-nucleotide ribosomal RNA is filed under the name uncultured bacterium. Its description in RNAcentral is "partial 16S ribosomal RNA". It matches the Rfam family "Bacterial small subunit ribosomal RNA", at positions 30 to 507 of the family's 1533-position model. The record is from RNAcentral.